UUUCGAAACCAUUUUCCAGAAAUUCAUUUGGGGAGACCGCUCCUCUCACUCCUCCAUCUAUCUCCCCGAUUCACACCUCCCUUCCCCUCUAAUUCAAUUUCGCUCUCCAGCUCUCCUCCGUGUCGCCGCCGGAACGGCUGUUUUCUCGCCUCCCCUUCUGGCUGGUCUUCGUUUAUUCGGUUCUUGUUGCGCUAUUGUUGUUGGUGAUGCUUCGCUUUCUCUCUCUCGUUUUCGUUCCCAGUACAGCCGACGAUGGUGGUCUCGAAUUUUCGUCUUCAACAACCCACCACUGAAUUAGGUGAUGAUGCCUUGGUUGUUGAUUGAUGUUUCCAUGCCUCCACAAUCACAUAUCCGCUUCUUAUUCUCCUCCUCGUCGGAGCAAUCACUGUUGCUGUUGCAGUUGUUGUUGCUCGACAAGGUUCUUUUUUCGGCUACUCUACAAGUUGGGAGAUACAUUGUGACAAUGAUGAGCACGGGUGUUGUUCUACUUACUAGAGUUCAAUUAUCAGGUGGUGAGAUGAAUGACUUGAUCUGGUAUAGUUGGCUUGGAGGGGUCAUAAUUGGGACUAUGGUAGGGGAAACAUGGUUAUGGAUGAUCAUAGCCGAGGUGGUCCAAGGAAUGUUGUAAUAACUGGGAGGCUGCUCAACAAGUUGGGAGAUACAUUGUGACAAUGAUGAGCACGGGUGUUGUUCUACUUACUGGAUUGCAAUUGCCACUGUACAUGCUUCCAUUAUGUCUGAAAAAGUUUCUGGUGCACGGACAAGAGAUCUAUGUUGCUCAGUUUAGGUGACAUCAUUUGAAAAAAAAAAAUAAGAGUUGCUGCUAUAUUGUGUUACACACUGAUAAUGUGUUGUCUCGCUUCUUCGCUGCUGCUGUCUCACUGCUACACUGCUGUUGUCUCGCUGCGACACUGCUGUUGUCUUGCUGCUACACUGCUGCUGUCUCGCUACCAAUCUAGCGAAAUUUAACCAUGCACGAAAGCUAUCAGAAGUUGUAGAAAUAUCCGAAUAUACCAAUCAGGCAUCUUCCAAGACAUGUUAUUUUUGCGAUUUUUGUUAGUUUUGGGCUUGCGGGUUGUUGCAAGCCCUAAAGUGUUUUUUUGGUUGAGAUUGAACAACAAUUGUUUCUCAUUUGGUUAAUAAUAUUACUUGUAGUUGAUAAAUUUUCGAUUCCUAUGAAAUUUGGUGUUUACUUUUGUUAUCUUA
This is a long non-coding RNA of Spinacia oleracea (spinach), 1206 nucleotides long. RefSeq lists it as uncharacterized. The record is from RefSeq and is a predicted model, not a curated record. The transcript has 6 exons. NCBI's taxonomy places the organism in Eukaryota, Viridiplantae, Streptophyta, Magnoliopsida, Caryophyllales, Amaranthaceae.